Molecule: long non-coding RNA, 6690 nt
Organism: Callithrix jacchus (white-tufted-ear marmoset)
Lineage: Eukaryota; Metazoa; Chordata; Mammalia; Primates; Cebidae
Source: RefSeq, a predicted model, not a curated record
UCUACCUCUUGUCAUCUAUCCUAAGGAAAAUAAUCAUAAGAUAUCUGCAAAGAAUUAUGUGAAUGUUGAUAAUAAUUUUAUCUGUAACAACAAAAACUUGCAAGGUGGCAGAUAUCAGUUUAUGUCCCUGAGCGCCAAAUCCAUCCUUGUUUGUCUUGUUUUUUUGUGACUGGAGCUGGACCCUAUGGACAUUUCUCUUUUGAAAAUUUGGGGGCUAUUCAACUUUGUCAAUUGAGGGCACUGGAGAGACUCUGCAAUGCAAUAGAGGUUCCAGGUGCACCUGCAGGCCAUCUUUCUCUACCUGCAGCAAUUUCAGGGCAGCUUCGGUCUGUUCAUACCCUCCAGCAAUGGUGGGCCACUUCUACAGACAAACUCUGGCCCACUCACAGCACCAAGCAAAAGAAGGUCACUCCUGUAGACCAGCUUCCAACCACCCACAUCCACCAGUGAUGAUAGAUUGCUUUUAUUGAUCAGUGCCAGCCUGUGCACUCAGUCAAGUUUCUUUGUUCCUGCAGGCUGCCUGUGGUAGUUACUACCUCUCAGAAGAGGUUUGAAUCUCAGCCUUGGGGCAAGGAGGGCUUCUCCUAGUCCUAAGUACCUUUACUGUUCUUCUUCCUCAGCCUAGAGAUAAUAGCUGCUUUUUAAAUUUGUGUUGCCUGGGCCUCCUACUGACCCUCACAACAUCCCUGGAAAUUAGUGUCUUAUAGGAGAACGUUGACAUUUGUGAGCAGACAUCGUGAAUAUUUUCCAAGUCUUUUAGUAGUAAAUUUUUUAGUAAAGUUUUGGAAUAUUAAAUUUUCUGUGUUCAGAUUGUCAUAAGUUUUUGUCUUCGACUUGGACCUUGAAUGAUGCAGAAGUUAAAGGCUGAAAAAUAAUGGACUUUUUAAAUAAAUAAGGAGGUAUCCACACAAUGGCAUAAAAUUGUUUUUUUCCUUCUUUUUUUUGUUUUCAUUUUAUUAUUUAUUUAUUUGUUUGUUUGUUUUUUGUUUGUAAAAUUGUUUGAAUUAUCUAUUGUUCUCUUGGUGAGGUGACCCAGACCCUUGUUUGAAAGGGUUUUAUUGGCUGGGUGUGGUGGCUUACGCUUGUAAUCCCAGCACUUUGGGAGGCUGAGUGGCAGACCACCUGAGGUAAGGAGUUUGAGACCAGCCUGGCCAACAUGGUGAAACCCCACCUCUACUAAAAGUACCAAAAUUUUCUGGGCAUGGUGGCAGGCUGUAAUCCCAGCUACUUGGAAGGCUGAGGCAGGAAAAUUGCUUGAACCCAGAAGGCAGAGGUUGCAGUAAGCUGAGAUCAUGCCACUGUACUCCAGCCUGGGCGACAGAGUGAGACUCCAUCUCAAAAAAAAAAAAAAAAAAUGAAAAACAACAACAACAACAAAAAAGAAAAAACAAAACUGAAAGAAAGGGUUUUAUUUAUUUCCUCUCUCUUUUUAAAAUUUUUUUUGGCUCAUAUUUGUUGUAAUUGCUCAUUUGUUAGGGUCAUUGGACACAGAAAUACCAAGAUGCCUCCGGAAAUCAUGAAUAUUCCCCAAGUCCUCAAUCAGAAAGCAUGAACAGAGCAAUUGGUUUUCCUGGGGUUUAGACAUGGUCUUUCUUGUUCCUAUUGUAUAGUAACCCUAGCUCCUCAAGGAAAUCAUGGUCUAUGGGCUCUGCCAAACAGCAGUUCCUUUCUUUGCUUGCUGGCUCACUGGCUUAAGGAACUCAAAGUAAUCUUUUGGCAAUUUCAGCUUCCAGGUCAGUGGGGACAUUAAUUGUUUCUUGGUAGAAAUGUCACUCUACUCCAAGAAAUAAGAUCUUUAAUCCAGAAAACCUGAGUUUUCAGGAACAGAAUGCACAAACUUUUGUGGUCAUUCACUGGGAGUUCUAAUGAUCAGGUUCAAUCAUAUUUCUAUUCUUUAGUUCCUAGACCCAUUCAUUUUAGCUACUGGGCAGAGAACCAUGUACCAGCUAUUAGUGUUGUAUGUACUCCAUAUCAUGAAGCUAUUUUUUCACCACAAGGUUUUCUCCCCAAGCCGGUGCCAUAACUGAGACUUUACCAGGCUAUUCCUUCAUUUUAGGUGUUUCUGGGGUGUAGAGUAAAUGAUAAGAGCAGACUCCCAUGAUAAAUGACCACCAUGGUGCACUUCCUUUGCUAUGAAAUGUCAUCUUGGUCCUAGUCUGUAUUGCAAGGCGCACCAUACUGAUAGACCAGGUACUGUUGAGCCGUUGAUGGUGGUACUGAUAGAGGGACUGCAGGAAGAAAAGGUAAAUCCAUACUCAGAGUAUGUGUUGAUUCUCAUAAGGACAAAUUGGUAUGCCCUCCAAGACAGGUGGUUCUGAUAGAUGGUUGUGUAGCCAGCCUCCUUGAGAAAUGGUUCUAAGUCAAGGUCUUGGCAUGGGAUUCCACGACUGACAAGUUGGAAAUUUAGCAUUGGCAAUUGCUGGGUUAUCUUUUGUGAGUGGGCACUUAUAUUGUUGGACCAUGCGUAGCUACCAUUGCAGCACUAGAGACACUGUUUAUGGGCUUUGCUGUACAAGAACUGGGGUGGCUAAAGAGGGCCUGGCUAAGAGGCAGGAAGGAUCAUCCUGAGCACAUGGUUGUUGAGUCUCCUCUGCAGUUGAGCAGUAGUAUGAGAUCUGCUUUGUGUUUAUUAUCAUAGGAUUGUCUACAUACUUUUUCCCAUACAUUUUCUCUGAUCUUCAAGUCUUUUUUUUCUUGCCCUAUCCAAAUGUCCAAGCCAUUCACUACUGCUUAGAAGCUAGUGCAUACUUAAGGAUCUGGUCCUUUCUUCCAUAUGAAGUGGAUAACCAAGUGUGUUGCUUGUAGUUUCACCCACUGGGAGGAUUUCCCUUUACCUCUCUUCUUUGGGGCCACCUCAUGUGAGAAUGAAAUGCAACAGCAGACUAUCUCUGGCUAGAGGCAAUAAAUUAUGCUAGCCCAAUUAUGCACCAGGCCUGAGCUGUUUCCUUCACCAUUGAUUGCUUGUAGGUAGCAGUUGUGGAAGCUUCCUGUGGACCACAUGAACAGAUUCAGGUGAUGCAGCUGCUCAAACCCAUAAAUCACCUGCAGUGUGUUCUGAAAAUGUGUGGCUCAAGUGCAACUACCCUAAAAGACCAACUUGGUGAGUGAUGAGAUGAGUGGGAAGUAGCGAGGAUGACCUGGAUUUUCCACUGAGUAACUGGCCAAGUCCUGGGGACAAAUGAGGCCAAGUGAAUCCUAGGGAAAGGUACAAAAACAGGAGAAUGGAUCGUGUGUUCAGUAUUGGAACUGGUGACUAUUAAGUGGCUGUGGGGCCUCUGAAUAUAGAUGGUGUGAUAGUUUUAAAACAUGUCUGAAAAAUCUUUGACACUGUUUCCAUCACAAGGUGAUGUCUGUAUCUCCUCCCCUUGAACCUAAGUGGGCCUUUGUGACAGAUCUGAUGAAUAGAAUGCAGCAGUGUGAUGUCCAAGGCUAGUUUACAAAAGCCCAUGUUGGUUUCUCUGGAGACACUUGCUCUGGGAGCUAUAAGUGUCCUUCAACUAAAGCCUUCCAGGAACACACCUGCAGCUAAACAAAUUGGAUUUAUUGCUCAUUGUAGCAGGAGAACAUACACCAGGGGGAACCAGAGGAUCUCUCAAUAAGAAGGGAUAAAUAAUCACAAAAAGACAUCAAUGAAGCCUAUAAAAAUGAGAGUGCAUGCAAGAAGAUGUGAUUGUUAUAAAACAGGUGCACCAGGCCACUCAGAGAGCAAGCCUAAAGGAAAAGUCAUCAUGGAACCAACAAAGAUGAUACAAACAGGACGAGUACGAAAGAUAUAAUAGAAGAAAAUGACCCUGCAUUGAAAAUGAUCAAAGUACGCAGAUUGAAAAGGCUCACAAAUUCCAAUAAAAAGAAUUGAAACAACAACAAAGAAAUGCUACAAUAACAUUCUUUAAAUUAUAUUAAGUAUAAUGUUUUAGCAAAAAUAAGUACUCAGUCAGUAGUAAGAAAUUUGCCAAUAAAGAAACCAAAACUAAACUCUAGCUUUUCUUAUGUAAUACUGAAUCCCAGAAGAACUUGGAAACAUAUAUGCAUGCUUUACCAGGAUCAGAUAAUAAGGCAGGUAUUUAAGAUUGGAAAAGACCUCUCUCACUGGUAAAGGCAAUAGGAAGAUAUAUUUUAGAAGUAGAAGCUCUCUAACAUAGACACUAUUCUGCAAAAAAAUAAGAUAAAUAUAACAAAAGAAAAUGAGCUUCAGUGUAUUUUGGUCACUGAGAGAUGAUUCGAAAUAAGACUUUUAAUAAUGAGAAUGCUAAUAUUUAAAAGAAUAAGUGGAGCUUUUCCUUACUCAGUUUGUUCAAUAAAAACAUGGGUCCACUCUAACCUGAUAUAUUGUGUUGCUUAAAGGGAAGGCCUGGUCCUGUCUUUUCUGCUUUCUUCUCUGUUCAUGGUAUAGAAAAUGUAUUUUUGUUAACCAAUUAUUGACUUCACACUUGAGGUAGACUUUGUUGCCAUGUUGGAUGGCUAUUUUGUUAGACAGUAAAACAGUUUUCUGCCACAUGCCUAGGUGAUUUUAAAUAAUGUAGCCCUUACCCUCAUCUGCUGUUAUAGGGACCACAUGCUUUGUGGUAACCAGGUGCUGCCAAAUUAGAUGAUGGCAGGCUCCUGAUCCAUGCCUGUCAAGUCAUAGGUGGUUAAGGGAAUGGAAGUCAGAGGCAGACUGUCUCGUUCCAAAUCCAAGGUCUAUCAGUUGACUAUGAUCUUCAUUUUCUUAUUCUAUAAAAUUAGUUUAUUGAUUGUUCCUACUCAAUUGGCUUGAGGUGAAGCUUAAAUGAGUUAAUACACGUAACUAUUUGACUGGUACAAGACAAAAUCCUAUUACAUGUUCUGAAAAAAAAUUAUCUACACGAACUAAAGAAAUGAAUUCUAUUUCCUCCACUACUGCAACUCAAAACUUCUAGUCACUAAAACUGUGGGGUUUUUUCUAUAUCAGUUUGUCAGACACCUAUUAGAUGUCCUAUAAUUCAGUUCAGUUCUGACAUCAUCUGCAUGGAAACAGCAUCAGAUCCCAUGGACUAAUAGCUCAGUGUCAUAAGUCUGGCUGUAAUGGCCCAAGUGGGUUAUCCUUGCCUACUGCAAUACGUGGAGAUGGUGGUGUUGCAGUAGAGAAAGUGUUUAAUAAUCACAAGGCCAACCCAGCGGAAGGAUGAGAGAUAACUCUUACAUCUCCCUCCCUAAGAGCUCAGGGGCUGGGGAUUUUAAGGAUAAUUUGGCAGACAGGGGGCUAGGGAAUGAGUGCUGCUGAUUAGUUGUGGAUGAUAUCAUAGGAGUAUCCAAACUGGCUUCUCAUGCUGAGUCAGAUUCUGGGUGGAAGUUUCUGUGUGGGAGUUAAUUCCUUGCCAUGAGUCACAGGUCUGGGUGGAGUUGGUUAGUUGCCAGAAAGUGAAAGUUUAAAAAUAUCUCAGAGACCAAUCUUAGACCAAUCUUAGAUUUUGACAAUAGUGAUAUUAUCUAUAGGAGAAAGUGGGGAAGUUAAAAAUCUUGUGACCUCUGGCUACAUGAUUCUUGAGCAGUAAGCUAUUAUGGAAAGGCAAGCUAGGAAACGAUGGCUAGUUAUUGUUUAACUAUACCUACAUCUUAGCAGAAUUCAGGUCCUUCUCAUAAUCCCAACCUUGUGUAGUUUCAUUAGUCUUACAAAGGCAAUUUCAGCUGCCCACCAAAUAGGGAAUUAAUUUCAGAAAGGGACUGUUUUUUUUGUUUUGUUUUGUUUUGUUUUUGAGACAGAGUUUCGCUCUUGUUACCCAGGCUGGAGUGCAAUGGCGCGAUCUUGGCUCACCGCAACCUCAGCCUCCUGGGUUUGGGCAAUUCUCCUGCCUCAGCCUCCUGAGUAGCUGGGAUUACAGGCACGCACCACCAUGCCCAGCUAAUUUUUUGUAUUUUUAGUAGAGACGGGGUUUCACCAUGUCGACCAGGAUGGUCUUGAUCUCUUGACCUCGUGAUCCACCCACCUUGGCCUCCCAAAGUGCUGGGAUUACAGGCUUGAGCCAUCGCGCCCGGCCUCAGAAAGGGACUGUUUACCAUCUUUGUUUUAAAGUUAACAAAGGCAGUUAGCUUGUGAUAUUAGAAGAAAGAGGGAAUCAGCUAUGUCAGAUUUCUCUCACUGUCAUAAUUUUUGCAAAGGUGGUUUCAUGGCCCCAUUUGAAAUGAGAGAAUGGAAAGUGCAGGUUUUCACCUGAGCUUUGGACUGGGUGGAAAUACAUUAGAAGUUCCCAGGACUUCCUCCUCAGAUUUGACCAUUUGCUGGAAUGGUUUGCAGAACUUAGGAAAAAUGUUUACUUGUUAGAUUACCAGUUUACUUCAAAACGAAAUUACAAAUCAGGAACAACCAGAUGGAAGAGAUGCACAGGGCAUUGUAUGUGGGAAGGGGCACGAAGCUUCCAUGCACCCUUGGGCUCAUCAUCCUCUCAGCUCCUACAUGUAUUUAGCAACAUAGAAGCUUUUUUUUUUUUUUUUUUAAUGUCUUUAUUUCUCUACUUGCUCUGAAGAUUUUUGAAAAAUGUUCUUAGGCCAGGUGUGGUGGCUCAUGCCCAUAAUCCCAGCGUGUUGGGAGGCCAAGGUGGGCAGACCACCCUGAGGUCAGCAGUUUGAGACCAGCCUGGCCAACAUGGUAAAACCCCGUCUCUACUAAAAUUAAAAUAAAAUAAAAUACAAAAAAUUAGUCAGGGCUGGUGGUGCAUGCCUGUAAUCCCAGCU